CCACAUGAUACAAUAAUGGAUAAACUUUCUGCUGGAUGAAAGGAAGCUAGGAGGUGUUGGAGUCUCUUAUAGAGUUACAAAGUGUAUUAGAAUGAAAAAAAAUAAGCUGGAGUCUCUUAUAAAGUUACCUAGUGUAUUAGAAUGAAAAAAACUAAGUUGUAUAUAGAUAUAAUUUAUGUUUGUCUGUAUUGUAUUGACCAUUCCAAUGUUACCAAUUGUGUGAUUCUUGAUUUUAUAAGGAUUUAAUUUACUAAUAUGUUUAGUUAU
Molecule: long non-coding RNA, 267 nt
Filed under: Trifolium pratense (red clover)
Lineage: Eukaryota; Viridiplantae; Streptophyta; Magnoliopsida; Fabales; Fabaceae
Description: long non-coding RNA (TPRA_LNC002636)
Source: RNAcentral